This 497-nucleotide ribosomal RNA is filed under the name uncultured bacterium. Its description in RNAcentral is "partial 16S ribosomal RNA". It matches the Rfam family "Bacterial small subunit ribosomal RNA", at positions 28 to 507 of the family's 1533-position model. The record is from RNAcentral.
GAUGAACGCUGGCGGCGUGCCUAAUACAUGCAAGUCGAGCGAACAGAUGAGGAGCUUGCUCCUCUGACGUUAGCGGCGGACGGGUGAGUAACACGUGGAUAACCUACCUAUAAGACUGGGAUAACUUCGGGAAACCGGAGCUAAUACCGGAUAAUAUAUUGAACCGCAUGGUUCAAUAGUGAAAGACGGUUUUGCUGUCACUUAUAGAUGGAUCCGCGCCGCAUUAGCUAGUUGGUAAGGUAACGGCUUACCAAGGCAACGAGGCGUAGCCGACCUGAGAGGGUGGUCGGCCACACUGGAACUGGGACACGGUCCAGACUCCUACGGGAGGCAGCAGUAGGGAAUCUUCCGCAAUGGGCGAAAGCCUGACGGAGCAACGCCGCGUGAGUGAUGAAGGUCUUCGGAUCGUAAAACUCUGUUAUUAGGGAAGAACAAAUGUGUAAGUAACUAUGCACGUCUUGACGGUACCUAAUCAGAAAGCCACGGCUAACUACGUG